AUUGAACGCUGGCGGCAUGCUUUACACAUGCAAGUCGAACGGUAACAGGCCUUCGGUUGCUGACUAGUGGCGAACGGUUGAGUAAUUCAUCGGAACGUACCCCGAGGUUGUUUAUAACGCAGCUAAAGCUGUGCUAAUACCGCAUGUGAUCUGAGGUUGAAAUCGGUGGACCGAGCAGCAUUGUUUGGCCUCGCGCCUUUGUAUCGGCCGAUUUCGGAUUAGCUAGUUGGUGGGGUAAAGGCCUACCAAGGCGACGAUCCGUAGCUGGUCUGAGAGGACGACCAGAGAGACUGGGAGUGAGAAACGGACAAGAAGACUAAGGGAGGGAGCAGUGGGGAAUAUUGGACAAUGGGCGCAAGCAUGAUACAGAAAAGCCGCGUGAGGGAAGAAGGACUUCGGGUUGUAAAACGCUUUUGGCAGGAACGAAAAGGUGUACGAUAAGACAGGGAGAUAAUGACGGUACCUGAAGAAUAAGCACCGGCUAACUACGUG
RNAcentral lists this ribosomal RNA (492 nucleotides) under uncultured bacterium. RNAcentral's name for it is "partial 16S ribosomal RNA". It matches the Rfam family "Bacterial small subunit ribosomal RNA", at positions 30 to 507 of the family's 1533-position model. The record is from RNAcentral.